GACCCGAAAGAUAGUGAACUAUGCCUGAUCAGGCCAACGUCAGGAGAAACCCUGAUGGAGGGCCGAAGCUAUUCUGACGUGCAAAUCGAUUGUCAGAGUUAGGAAUAGGGGCGAAAGACCAAUCGAACCAUCUAGUCGCUGG
This 142-nucleotide ribosomal RNA is filed under the name Anopheles stephensi (Asian malaria mosquito). Its description in RNAcentral is "eukaryotic large subunit ribosomal RNA". It matches the Rfam family "Eukaryotic large subunit ribosomal RNA", at positions 813 to 954 of the family's 3401-position model. The record is from Rfam by way of RNAcentral. Lineage: Eukaryota; Metazoa; Arthropoda; Insecta; Diptera; Culicidae.